AAGCGCGCGCAGGCGUUCUUUAAGUCUAUGUNAAGCCCCCGCUCAACCGGGAGGGUCAUUGAAACUGGGAACUGAGUGCAGAAGAGAAAGCGGAAUUCCACGUGAGCGGUGAAAUGCGAGAGAUGUGGAGAACACCAGUGGCGAAGGCGGCUUUCUGGUCUGUAACUGACGCUGAGGCGCGAAAAGCGUGGGAGCAAACACGAUUAGAUACCCUGGUAGUCCACGCCGUAAACGAUGAGUGCUAAGUGUUAGAGGGUUUCCGCCCUUUAGUGCUGCAGCUAACGCAUUAAGCACUCCGCCUGGGGAGUACGGCCGCAAGGCUGAAACUCAAAGGAAUUGACGGGGGCCCGCACAAGCGGUGGAGCAUGUGGUUUAAUUCGAAGCAACGCGAAGAACCUUACCAGGUCUUGACAUCCUCUGACACUCCUAGAGAUAGGACUUUCCCCUUCGGGGGACAGAGUGACANGGUGGUGCAUGGUUGUCGUCAGCUCGUGUCGUGAGAUGUUGGGUUAAGUCCCGCAACGANGCGCAACCCUUGAUCUUANGUUGCCANGCAUUCANGUUGGGCACUCUAANGGUGNCUGCCGGUGACAAANCCGGANGGAAGGUGGGGAUGACGUCAAAUCAUCAUGCCCCUUAUGA
RNAcentral lists this ribosomal RNA (642 nucleotides) under Firmicutes bacterium 7d2-2. RNAcentral describes it as "bacterial SSU rRNA". It matches the Rfam family "Bacterial small subunit ribosomal RNA", at positions 563 to 1207 of the family's 1533-position model. The record is from RNAcentral. Lineage: Bacteria; Bacillati; Bacillota.